GAUGAACGCUGGCGGCGUGCUUAACACAUGCAAGUCGAACGGAAAGGCCCAAGCUUGCUUGGGUACUCGAGUGGCGAACGGGUGAGUAACACGUGGGUGAUCUGCCCUGCACUUCGGGAUAAGCCUGGGAAACUGGGUCUAAUACCGGAUAGGACGAUGGUUUGGAUGCCAUUGUGGAAAGUUUUUUCGGUGUGGGAUGAGCUCGCGGCCUAUCAGCUUGUUGGUGGGGUAAUGGCCUACCAAGGCGUCGACGGGUAGCCGGCCUGAGAGGGUGUACGGCCACAUUGGGACUGAGAUACGGCCCAGACUCCUACGGGAGGCAGCAGUGGGGAAUAUUGCACAAUGGGCGCAAGCCUGAUGCAGCGACGCCGCGUGGGGGAUGACGGCCUUCGGGUUGUAAACUCCUCUCGCUAGGGACGAAGCGUUUUUGUGACGGUACCUGGAGAAGAAGCACCGGCUAACUACGUG
RNAcentral lists this ribosomal RNA (468 nucleotides) under uncultured bacterium. RNAcentral describes it as "partial 16S ribosomal RNA". It matches the Rfam family "Bacterial small subunit ribosomal RNA", at positions 28 to 507 of the family's 1533-position model. The record is from RNAcentral.